This 597-nucleotide ribosomal RNA is filed under the name uncultured fungus. RNAcentral's name for it is "eukaryotic LSU rRNA". The stretch from base 197 to 350 matches the Rfam family "5.8S ribosomal RNA". The record is from RNAcentral. Lineage: Eukaryota; Fungi.
UAACGAGUACUGAACAGGUUGUAGCUGGCCUCUCGGGGCAUGUGCACGCCUGGCUCAUCCACUCUUCACCACUGUGCACUUAUUGUAGGUCGGUUCAGAAGGGCGAGUGUAACAGCUCGCUCGGAAGGCCUUCCUAUGUUUUAUUACAAACGCUUCAGUUUAAGAAUGUAAACCUGCGUAUAACGCAUCUAUAUACAACUUUCAGCAACGGAUCUCUUGGCUCUCGCAUCGAUGAAGAACGCAGCGAAAUGCGAUAAGUAAUGUGAAUUGCAGAAUUCAGUGAAUCAUCGAAUCUUUGAACGCACCUUGCGCUCCCUGGUAUUCCGGGGAGCAUGCCUGUUUGAGUGUCAUGGUAUUCUCAUCCUUCAUAACUUUUGUUAUCGAAGGCAUGGACUUGGAGGUCGUGCUGGUUCCUCGUUGAAUCGGCUCCUCUUAAAUGCAUUAGCGUGAGUGUAACGGAUCGCUUCGGUGUGAUAAUUAUCUGCGCCGUGGUCGUGAAGUAACAUAAGCUUGCGCUUCUACCGGUCCUUAAGCUGGACAACUUACUUUGACAUCUGACCUCAAAUCAGGUAGGACUACCCGCUGAACUUAAGCAUA